UACGGGGGGGGCAAGCGUUGUUCGGAAUUACUGGGCGUAAAGGGCUCGUAGGCGGCCAACUAAGUCAGACGUGAAAUCCCUCGGCUUAACCGGGGAACUGCGUCUGAUACUGGAUGGCUUGAGAUUGGGAGAGGGAUGCGGAAUUCCUGGUGUAGCGGUGAAAUGCGCAGAUAUCAGGAGGAACACCGGUGGCGAAGGCGGAUCUCUGGGCCUUACCUGACGCUGAGGCGCGAAAGCUAGGGGAGCGAACAGG
This 253-nucleotide ribosomal RNA is filed under the name uncultured bacterium. RNAcentral's name for it is "partial 16S ribosomal RNA". It matches the Rfam family "Bacterial small subunit ribosomal RNA", at positions 524 to 776 of the family's 1533-position model. The record is from RNAcentral.